Carassius auratus (goldfish) is the source of this 1035-nucleotide long non-coding RNA. RefSeq lists it as uncharacterized. The record is from RefSeq and is a predicted model, not a curated record. Lineage: Eukaryota; Metazoa; Chordata; Actinopteri; Cypriniformes; Cyprinidae. The transcript is spliced from 3 exons.
CAGGAUGAGGUGAUGAUGUUUAAAUGAAGAGUUAUAAAUACAGAAUGAGAGAAAGACUGACAGAAACAAGAAAGUGCUUAUAAGUGUCUGCUGGGACUGAUCAUUCUCACAGGAAAACUUACUCUGGAACAACAGUGUGGGCAGUGAGAUGAGAACAGAGACACUUUGAGCUUUAACCACUAACCAUCGACCAACUGCUGACCGAUGAGAAAACAUCAUUAGCUCCUGAGAGACAAAGAUAAACUGAACCACAGUGAUCUGAACUGAAGACAACGACUGUAACACAUUUCAGUUUCAUUCAGCAACAUGAACGGUGAAAAUCAGACCAGACAGAUUCAUGACAAUAAUGUCCCUAAUGAAAAACGAUAUGAUUCUUCACAAAUCAGAAUCAUAAUCUUCUUCAUCACUAGUGUUUGUGUGGGUCUUCCAGCUCUGGUUUGGGCUUUUCGUCUUCUGCACCUUCACAGAAAGAUCAGAGGCCGAAUCUCAGUCUUCAUCCUCCUCCUCCUCCUCAAUGACCUGAUACAAUUACCCCUUCAUCUAUAUAUACUGGCAGGUAUACUGACAAGAUUCAGAUCCUUUAUCCUUGAGCUUUUUCAGUUUUGGUUGGGAUUAUAUUGGUGUGGUUUUCAUCUGCAUCAGCUGGUGGCUCUGGAGGGGAUUGUGACUCUGAAAUAUCCGCUUUGGUCUGCUCGUAUUUUCUCACUGCCCUGUUACAUCAUAAUCUCCAUCCUUGUGCUUUUUUUUUCUAUAGUGAGUGCAUUAUUUCUUUUCCCGCAUUCACAAGAUGCAAACAUGUCAUUAUUCAGUCUCAGCACAAGUUUAGUUCCUCUGAUCUUAAUGGCUGUAUCAUCUACAAUCAGCUGUAAAGCCUCUUCCACUCCUGUCAGAAAAAACAGUUCAGUGCUCACUGUUGCUAUUCUUACAUUUGUUUUGAUGUACUUACCUUUCAUGUUCUUCAUCUGUGUGAAUUUCUUUUAUUUAUAUGCAUAUGUCUAUCCAUGGUUGUUAAUAUCUUACUGUUUGAUGAGUUUG